RNAcentral lists this ribosomal RNA (1037 nucleotides) under Enterococcus hirae. Its description in RNAcentral is "partial 23S ribosomal RNA". It matches the Rfam family "Bacterial large subunit ribosomal RNA", at positions 229 to 1218 of the family's 2925-position model. Lineage: Bacteria; Bacillati; Bacillota; Bacilli; Lactobacillales; Enterococcaceae. The record is from RNAcentral.
AGGAUAUUCCGUGAGUAGUGGCGAGCGAAAGCGGAUGAUGGCCAAACCUUGCGCGUGUGAUACCCGUCGGGGGUUGCGCGCGGGGUGUUGCGGGAUCGCGUGCGCCGGCUCCGACGGGCCGGCCGGCAGUUGCAGAAAACCAUGUGUCAGGGGAACCGGGUUGAAUACCGGGCCGCAGAGGGUGAGGGCCCCGUACCUGAACGCGCAUGGUCUGCCGAUCGCGUCUCCCAAGUAGCACGGGUCCCGUGGAACCCCGUGCGAAUCCGCCCAGACCGUUGGGUAAGCCUGAAUAUUCCUGUCUGACCGAUAGCGAACGAGUACCGUGAGGGAAAGGUGAAAAGUACCCCGGGAGGGGAGUGAAACAGUCUCUGAAACCGUGCGCCUACAAUCCGUCGGAGCCCUUUUGUGGGGUGACGGCGUGCCUAUCGAAAAAUGAGUCUGCGAGUCAGUGGCAUGUGGCGAGCAUAACCCGUGUGGGGUAUGCGUAGCGAAGGCGAGUCUUAAAAGGCGUUUGAGUCGCGUGUCCUGGACCCGAAGCGGGAUGAUCUAGCCCUGAGCAGGUUGAAGCGCGGGUAAGACCGCGUGGAGGACCGAACCCACCUGGGUUGAAAACCGGGGGGAUGACUUGGGGCUAGGGGUGAAAGGCCAAUCAAAUUCCGUGAUAGCUGGUUCUCUCCGAAAUGCAUUUGGGUGCAGCGUCGGGUCAUUACGUCCCGGGGGUAGAGCUACUGGAUGCUUGCGGGCCCGUAUCGGGUACCAACAGCAACCAAACUCCGAAUACCGGUGACGCGUAUCCCGGCAGUGAGUCGGCGGGGGAUAAGCUUCGUCGUCGAAAGGGAAACAGCCCAGACCGUCGUCUAAGGUCCCGAAGCGUGUGCUAAGUGGGAAAGGAUGUGGAGUCGCAUAGACAGCCAGGAGGUUGGCUCAGAAGCAGCCACCCUUGAAAGAGUGCGUAACAGCUCACUGGUCUAGUGGUUCCGCGCCGACAAUGUAGCGGGGCUCAAGCACACCACCGAAGACGCGGCAGUAUUUUGUAC